UGAAGCUGAUUGAUGGGUACAUGGGGGAAUCAUUAUACUGUUUUCUAUGUGUUUAAAAAAUUUUUCUAUGUGUUUAAAAUUUUCCAUUAAAAUCAUUUUGAAAAGCCCUUCUAAAUCAUUUGAAAACUUAAGUAAUGUCAGGAAUUUCUUAGAGCUGAAUCAACCUUUAAAUAUUAAGAUCUUCAGUAGUUCAGAAUCAAAAUAUUAUAGGCAAUGUAAGAAAUGAGGAAGGCCCUUGAACAUGAGCCAGUGCUAGCAAAGUAGGUCCUGCUGAAUAAGAGCCAUCUCCCCUUCCACUCAGGUUUGUAUGGAAUAUAGUCCUUGAUCCAGCAACUCCACUUCUAGGAAUGUACCCUCAGGAAAUAAUUGGUCAUAUGUGCACACCUAUAUAUGAAUAAGGAUGUCCUAAGUGGAUUCAUAAUAGUAAAUCAAUUGAAACAAGGCAAUGAUGAACACUAAGGGGGCUUAAGAAGUCAUGGUGCUGUGGUUUAAAUGUAUCCCCCCAAAUUUUGUGUGUUGUAAAUUUAACCUUCAAAUUCCUAUGUCAAUGGUAUUUGGAGGUGGAGUCUUUGGGAGCUGUGAUAUUAUGAUAUAUAAUUUUUUCAUUUUCAUCCACAAUUCCUGGUUCAUAAACUCCCUCCUCAAAGCAGACCAAGAAAACUAGAAUUUCUCUUUCUGAAGGUGUGUUAUAAGUACUCUAAUUUUCCUCUACCUUUCUGUCUUUGAAAUGGCCAUAAAGAAAUUAUUUGAACUACCCUUGUCCAAUAGUAGAUCAUAAAAACUUCUUCAUUGUGGAGGAGUCCUCCAUACUCUAGAGGAAGGAAUGCUGCCCAGGAAUGGCCAACAACAAUUCUGAAGCAGACAAGUCUUGUUACAUUUCCCCCACUCAACCUGCUAGCAUCAGAUUUGUUCAAACACAUUCCUACACAGUUAUCAAUGCUUUGGUCAUUCCUAUGCAAUGAAGUAUCUAUAAAAACCCUAAAGAAUAGAGCUUAGAAAGAUUCCACAUAGCUGAACACAUGGAGUUUUCUGGUAUGGAGGCUGGUAUGCUUGGAAAGGAUAUGGAAAUACUAU
RNAcentral lists this long non-coding RNA (1074 nucleotides) under Marmota monax (woodchuck). The record is from RNAcentral. Lineage: Eukaryota; Metazoa; Chordata; Mammalia; Rodentia; Sciuridae.